RNAcentral lists this ribosomal RNA (253 nucleotides) under uncultured bacterium. Its description in RNAcentral is "partial 16S ribosomal RNA". It matches the Rfam family "Bacterial small subunit ribosomal RNA", at positions 524 to 776 of the family's 1533-position model. The record is from RNAcentral.
UACGAGUGGUGCAAACGUUAUUCGGCCUCACUGGGCGUACAGGGUGCGUCGACGGUAUAGUAAGUCAACUGUUAAAUUUUCCGGCCUAACCGGAAGUAUGCGGUAGAAACUGUUGUACUAGAGGAUGGAAGAGAGAAGUGGAAUUCUCGGAGUAGCGGUAAAAUGCGUAGAUCUCGAGAGGAACACCAAUGGCGAAGGCAGCUUCUUGGCCCAUUCCUGACGUUGAGGCACGAAAGCGUGGGGAGCAAACAGG